This 464-nucleotide ribosomal RNA is filed under the name uncultured Syntrophus sp. RNAcentral describes it as "bacterial SSU rRNA". It matches the Rfam family "Bacterial small subunit ribosomal RNA", at positions 920 to 1382 of the family's 1533-position model. The record is from RNAcentral. Lineage: Bacteria; Pseudomonadati; Thermodesulfobacteriota; Syntrophia; Syntrophales; Syntrophaceae.
CCCGCACAAGCGGUGGAGCAUGUGGUUUAAUUCGAUGCAACGCGAAGAACCUUACCUGGGCUUGACAUCCCGGGAAUCCCUUGGGAAACAAGGGAGUGCCCUUCGGGGAACCUGGAGACAGGUGCUGCAUGGCUGUCGUCAGCUCGUGUCGUGAGAUGUAGGGUUAAGUCCCGCAACGAGCGCAACCCUUGUCUUUAAUUGCCAUCAUUGAGUUGGGCACUUUAAAGAGACUGCCGGUGUUAAACCGGAGGAAGGUGGGGAUGACGUCAAGUCCUCAUGGCCUUUAUGCCCAGGGCUACACACGUGUUACAAUGGCCAGUACAAAGGGCAGCUACCGGGUGACCGGAUGCUAAUCUCUAAAGCUGGUCUCAGUUCGGAUCGAAGUCUGCAACCCGACCCCAUGAAGUCGGAGUCGCUAGUAAUCGCAGAUCAGCAACGCUGCGGUGAAUACGUUCCCGGGCCUU